GACGAACGCUGGCGGCGUGCUUAACACAUGCAAGUCGAGCGGAAAGGCCCUGCUUUUGUGGGGUGCUCGAGUGGCGAACGGGUGAGUAACACGUGAGUAACCUGCCCUUGACUUUGGGAUAACUUCAGGAAACUGGGGCUAAUACCGGAUAGGAGCUCCUGCUGCAUGGUGGGGGUUGGAAAGUUUCGGCGGUUGGGGAUGGACUAGCGGCUUAUCAGCUUGUUGGUGGGGUAGUGGCUUACCAAGGCUUUGACGGGUAGCCGGCCUGAGAGGGUGACCGGCCACAUUGGGACUGAGAUACGGCCCAGACUCCUACGGGAGGCAGCAGUGGGGAAUAUUGCACAAUGGGCGGAAGCCUGAUGCAGCAACGCCGCGUGCGGGAUGACGGCCUUCGGGUUGUAAACCGCUUUCGCCUGUGACGAAGCGUGAGUGACGGUAAUGGGUAAAGAAGCACCGGCUAACUACGUG
RNAcentral lists this ribosomal RNA (468 nucleotides) under uncultured bacterium. RNAcentral describes it as "partial 16S ribosomal RNA". It matches the Rfam family "Bacterial small subunit ribosomal RNA", at positions 28 to 507 of the family's 1533-position model. The record is from RNAcentral.